This 263-nucleotide ribosomal RNA is filed under the name uncultured bacterium. Its description in RNAcentral is "partial 16S ribosomal RNA". It matches the Rfam family "Bacterial small subunit ribosomal RNA", at positions 793 to 1055 of the family's 1533-position model. The record is from RNAcentral.
GUCCACGCCGUAAACGAUGUCUACUAGCCGUUGGGACCCUUGAGGUUUUGGUGGCGCAGCUAACGCAAUAAGUAGACCGCCUGGGGAGUACGGUCGCAAGAUUAAAACUCAAAUGAAUUGACGGGGGCCCGCACAAGCGGUGGAGCAUGUGGUUUAAUUCGAAGCAACGCGAAGAACCUUACCAGGUCUUGACAUCCAGAGAACUUUCCAGAGAUGGAUUGGUGCCUUCGGGAGCUCUGAGACAGGUGCUGCAUGGCUGUCGU